This 310-nucleotide ribosomal RNA is filed under the name uncultured fungus. RNAcentral describes it as "partial small subunit ribosomal RNA". It matches the Rfam family "Eukaryotic small subunit ribosomal RNA", at positions 30 to 350 of the family's 1831-position model. The record is from RNAcentral. Lineage: Eukaryota; Fungi.
GCUUGUCUCAAAGAUUAAGCCAUGCAUGUCUAAGUAUAAACAAUUUUGUACUGUGAAACUGCGAAUGGCUCAUUAUAUCAGUUAUAGUCUACUCGAUAGUACCUUACUACUUGGAUACCCGUAGUAAUUCUAGAGCUAAUACAUGCAUCAACCCCCGACUUUUGAAGGGGUGUAUUUAUUAGAUUGAAACCAAUGCGGGUUCGCCCGGUAUUUGGUGAUUCAUAAUAACUUUCGGAUCGACUUCGGUCGAUGCAUCAUUCAAGUUUCUGCCCUAUCAGCUUUGGAUGGUAGGGUAUUGGCCUACCAUGGC